AUAAAUGAAAGAAUAAUAAAUGAAUGAAUAAUAUACAUUUUAUUAAGAGUUAAUUUCACAUAAAUUUCUGUAAAUAUAGUUAAUGACAAAUAUACUUUUAUAAAAUUUAAUUUUUAUAUAUUAUUCUCGUAAAAGUUCUAAUACUUUCAAAUAUAUCAUUUUGAUUUAUUACCAUUAGAGAACGAUUAGAUAAUUAUUUAUAUUUUUAAUUUUACCAUCAUAAAUAUGUCUCUUCAAAAGUCAUAACAAUAUAAUAUAAUAAAAAUAAAAAUGUCAAAAACUAAUCAGAUUAAGUAUUUAAUCUAUAGUUAACUAAAUUUUUCUAAUGAAUAUAUUUAAAAAUAUCAGGACUUUUAUAAAAAUAAUAUAUAAAAAUUAAACUUUAUAGUAAUAUUUGUUAUUCACUGUAACCCUUUUUUGAAUUAUUCCCUUG
Molecule: long non-coding RNA, 433 nt
Filed under: Ananas comosus (pineapple)
Lineage: Eukaryota; Viridiplantae; Streptophyta; Magnoliopsida; Poales; Bromeliaceae
Description: long non-coding RNA (ACOM_LNC018980)
Source: RNAcentral